CAAAAACAUACCUUUAGCAAACAAGUAUUAAAGRUAGCGCCUGCCCAGUGAGACUUAAACGGCCGCGGUAUCUAACCGUGCAAAGGUAGCGUAAUCACUUGUCUUAUAAAUAAAGACCCGUAUGAAUGGCUAAAUGAAUAUUUAACUGUCUCCUUUAACUAAUCAGUGAAACUGAUCUUUCAGUACAAAAGCUGAAAUAAAAACAUAAGACGAGAAGACCCUGUGGAGCUUCAAAUUUUAAACAAAAUAUAAUAAAAAUGUAUUUAUGUUAAAAAUUUUUAGUUGGGGCGACUUUGGAGUAAAACUAAACCUCCAAGAAAAGCACAGCCUAACUAAGACCAACAGGCCAAACCAUAAAGACCCAGUAUAUUUACUGACUAAUGAACCAAGUUACCCAGGGAUAACAGCGCCAUCUUCUUCAAGAGUUCCUAUCGACAAGAAGGUUU
This 446-nucleotide ribosomal RNA is filed under the name Anolis osa. RNAcentral's name for it is "partial 16S ribosomal RNA". It matches the Rfam family "Bacterial large subunit ribosomal RNA", at positions 1808 to 2519 of the family's 2925-position model. The record is from RNAcentral. Lineage: Eukaryota; Metazoa; Chordata; Lepidosauria; Squamata; Anolidae.